GGACUGUAGGCUGCAACUCGCCUACACGAAGUCGGAAUCGCUAGUAAUCGCGGAUCAGCAUGCCGCGGUGAAUACGUUCCCGGGCCUUGUACACACCGCCCGUCACACCAUGAGAGUUUGUAACACCCAAAGCCGGUGGGGUAACCUUUUGGAGCCAGCCGUCUAAGGUGGGACAGAUGAUUGGGGUGAAGUCGUAACAAGGUAUC
This 206-nucleotide ribosomal RNA is filed under the name uncultured bacterium. RNAcentral's name for it is "partial 16S ribosomal RNA". It matches the Rfam family "Bacterial small subunit ribosomal RNA", at positions 1295 to 1500 of the family's 1533-position model. The record is from RNAcentral.